RNAcentral lists this ribosomal RNA (497 nucleotides) under uncultured bacterium. Its description in RNAcentral is "partial 16S ribosomal RNA". It matches the Rfam family "Bacterial small subunit ribosomal RNA", at positions 28 to 507 of the family's 1533-position model. The record is from RNAcentral.
GAUGAACGCUGGCGGCGUGCCUAAUACAUGCAAGUCGAGCGAACGGACGAGAAGCUUGCUUCUCUGAUGUUAGCGGCGGACGGGUGAGUAACACGUGGAUAACCUACCUAUAAGACUGGGAUAACUUCGGGAAACCGUAGCUAAUACCGGAUAAUAUUUUGAACCGCAUGGUUCAAAAGUGAAAGACGGUCUUGCUGUCACUUAUAGAUGGAUCCGCGCUGCAUUAGCUAGUUGGUAAGGUAACGGCUUACCAAGGCAACGAUGCAUAGCCGACCUGAGAGGGUGAUCGGCCACACUGGAACUGAGACACGGUCCAGACUCCUACGGGAGGCAGCAGUAGGGAAUCUUCCGCAAUGGGCGAAAGCCUGACGGAGCAACGCCGCGUGAGUGAUGAAGGUCUUCGGAUCGUAAACCUCUGUUAUUAGGGAAGAACAUAUGUGUAAGUAAAUGUGCACAUCUUGACGGUACCUAAUCAGAAAGCCACGGCUAACUACGUG